RNAcentral lists this ribosomal RNA (354 nucleotides) under Samia ricini (Indian eri silkmoth). Its description in RNAcentral is "partial 16S ribosomal RNA". Lineage: Eukaryota; Metazoa; Arthropoda; Insecta; Lepidoptera; Saturniidae. The record is from RNAcentral.
GGGCGGUUAACAUGCGCUGUAUGAGGAUGGAUGAGAUAUAAGCUGUCUUGAUAAUAUUUAAUUGAAUUUAAUUUUUUAUUUAAAAAGUUAAAAUAAUUUAAAAAGACGAGAAGACCCUAUAGAGUUUUAUAUUAAAUUAAAUUAAAAUUAUUUAUAUAAUUAUUAAUAUAGAUUUAAUUUUAGUAUUUUGUUGGGGUGACAAAAAAAUAAAUAAAACUUUUUUUAUUAUUUACAUAAAUAAAUGAAUUUUUGAUCCAAUUUUAUUGAUUAAAAGAAAAAAUUACCUUAGGGAUAACAGCGUAAUUUUUUUUUUUAGUUCUUAUAAAAAAAAAAGUUUGCGACCUCGAUGUUGGA